CAAAAACAUGAAAAAAUUCAUUUCUGGCAAUAUAUAUAUAUAUUUUUUAAAAGCAACCACUGUACAUAUCAUGGCCUAGUUGUAAAGAAUCAUUAUUUAGGUUGGUAUAUUAAAAUAGUCUGGGAGAGCUCACAGGAUAACAUUUGAAGACAAUAUGGGUUCUGAAUGAAAGGGUCAAGAUCCCAUAUAAAUUAAUGAAAAAUAUAGAUCCACAGAAAAUGUAGUGGAAGUAUCGGUUGGGUGCUAGAACAAAAGGUGGAUUAAAAAUUUUACCAAGCUUUGGCUGAAAAAUUUUAACAAAUGCUAAUCAAUGAAAAGAGGAAUCCUUUAGUUCAGUUUUACCCCACAAACAGAUCACAGUGUCAUACACUAAAAAGCUGGAAGGGACAGCCAGGAUAUUUGAUUAGAGAAUCAAGGUCCCAAACAUUUGAGAUGGGUUGGAGCAAAACAAAUACAGUUUAAUACAGUUGUUGAGGACUUCUCUCUUUAGUCCAAAAAAAAAAAAAAAAGGCAACUGCAUAAUCAAAGGAUGGUAAAGCUAUAUAGUAUACAGGGAUCAUUAGAAUUCUAGUAGCUACCAGAAAAAAAGUCUGAUGUGAAGAUGUACUAUUUUAAUGAACACUCAGGGUACAUACAGGGACAUUUCCUAGGAUUUUUCACUUUUGGAAACCACGUGUUAAGAGGGAUUUGGAUAAAUGGGAACUCUUUCCAAGAAUGUUGGUCAGAGUAGUAAAUGAAGGAAGAGGGAUGAGCUAUCUGGGAAGUAUACUGCCUAGGCACUGCUAAUGUAUUUCAUUUAAUCCCCCUUAACUCUCUAAGUGAACUCAUAUCAACUAUACAGAAAAUUUAUAUUGCUCUUUUUUACUAAAUAGAAAUUAUCAAUGAAACUUUCAAAUGGACACAGUCUUGGGAAAAUAUUUUGACAGAACUAGCUCAAGAAGAAAUAAAAAAACUUGAGAAGGUCUCUAACCAUUAAAGCGAUUCAAUCACUUGUUAAAAACUUAUUUAUAAAAAUAUCUCAAAAGGCUGAAACAUUUUUGUAUGAAAGUUCUAUGAACAGUUUCAAGCAUAUACAAACUGCACAAAAUAGAGUCUUAGGAGAAUAUUUUAUUCCCAAGUCAUUUUGUAAGGCUUGGAUAAUCUUUAUGUCAAACCAGAGAAGAGAGUAUGAUAAGGGAAGAUGAAAGGUAAAUCUUACUUGUAAAAUUAGAUGCAAAAAUCCUCAGUAAAAUAAUGAAAACUGAACCCUGCCACGUAUUUAAAAUAAUGUAUCAUGUCUGAAGAUGUUUUAUCCAACAAGUUAAAGAGUGGCUUGACAUCAGAAAAUUUAUUAAGGUAAUUCCCCACAUUAAUAGUAAAGGGAAAAAAAUUUGCUUAAUAAUUUCACACAAAAACUUCGAUAAAAUACAGUGUCUUAUUGUAAUAAAAACUCUUAGCAAACCAGAAAUACAAAGCACCUAUUUCUGACUAGAUAAAGGGGAGUCUACCAAGACCCACAGCAAAUGUCAUACUUGAUGCUGAAACAUGAGAAGUGUUUCCUUUACAUGAGAAACGAGACAUGCCUACUCUCACUACUUCUAUUCACUGUUGUACUAGAUGUCCUAACCAGAGCAGUAAAACAAGAGAAAUGAAAAUGGAAGUAUCAUAUACAUAUAUAAAUUAAAAUUAAUAUAUUUAUGUUAUAUAUAAAUUUACAGUUAGAUGAAUAUACAAUAAAACCAGUAUACAGUCUUUUCUUUGAAGCAACACUGAUCCAAAAUGUUUUUAAAUGAUGCAUAAAGACUGAAGAAAAUUAGAUUAUCUUUAUUUGUCAUGUAUGGGUUUUACAAAUAUAUUUUUUGUUUCUAUUGAGAAGUGUUGAUAUUAAUGGAAAAAAAAAAAAACAUGGGCCAAAGUCUAAAGAGUCUUUGACAUAAAAAUUCUUCAAUUAAAAUGUUUUGACUUAGAUAUAGUAUAUUUUUGUAACAAUGAUAAUUUAAAGAGAAAUUUCUGUAUGAGAAAUAGUUUAAUACGUUGGGUCCCACAGACUUUAAUCUUGCUGGGCAGUAAUGGUAUAUGAUUUGCGAGUGGCUUUCAGCUGCAUGUAACAAAAGAAAUGAAAAUGUUUUCAAUAAGAUGGAAGUUAAUUUCUUUCAUAAAGGCUAGAGAUUUAUCUGUUUUGGAGAUUAGGUGGUCUGGCUUUUCCAUAUACUCAGCAGGGACCCAGGCUCCCUCCAGGCUACCACUCUUACAUCUUUAGGUAUAACCCUUGUCCUCACGGUUCAGAACAGCUGUUAAACCUCCAGCUGCCACAUGCCCUCCUUAGCCAGCAGGCUAGAAGAACGGGCAAAGAAGGCACACGAAUAAUAUUUUGGUUUUACCUAUCGGCAGUUGAGUUUGAGACAUGUCAUCCUCUAAUUGAGCAGUAGUGUAACCAGCUACAAUUAGGGUUCUUGUGAUGAAGGAGGAAGGUAAAAAGGGAUAUUGUAAGCCUAGUGGUCCCUGUUACAGGUGGCUAUUUGACUUCAAAUAAAGCUGGUUUAAUUGUUGGAAGAUUAGAGGAGAUAUACUCAUUAUUUAAUUUCACCUUGUCCCUUUCAGUGUAGGAAUAAGUGUGUCAUUGAGCUGUUUAAGACAAUUUUGUCAUUGGGAAUAGUAAACAAACUUGCAUAGAAAUCGGAAAUAACACACCAUAAUAAGCUUCAUUAAAAUUCAGUUAUUUGGAGUGAAAUUGCCUAAUUCUUUCGGACAACUCAUGCUAACAAAUUCUACUUAGCAUAAUUGCUGGGUUAAUACUAUCUCUUUUUCCAGAUUAAAUAUUUUUGAUUCACAUUUAUUAUGGCAGUUGUCCCCUGCUCUUGGAGUAAUAGCACACUGUUUAUUUAUAUAUUCUAGGACACAGAACCAAGUCUUGUUUUUUCUACCAUUUCCACCUGCUCACUCUCAAACUGUUAUAUAUUUUUUAAAAUUUUUAUUUAUUUAUGAUAGUCACACACACAGAGAGGCAGAGACAUAGGCAGAGGGAGAAGCAGGCUCCAUGCACCGGGAGCCCGACGUGGGAUUCGAUCGCAGGUCUCCAGGAUCGCGCCCUGGGCCAAAGGCAGGCGCUAAACUGCUGCGCCACCCAGGGAUCCCUUUUAUUUUUAUUUUUAUUUUUUUUUUUAAUUUUUGUUUAUUUAUGAUAGUCAAACUGUUAUAAACACACACAGUGAGACUGUUGUUUCUGUACUUUGUAGUGCAAGCAUCAUUAUUUCCUCAUUAUUAAAAAAAAAAAUCAAGACUAAGUAGUCAUCAGAACAUGUGCAGCCUGUGUUUUCUGCCCUUUAAAGAUCAUGGCAGUUUUGUUGUGUGUACAUAAAGACUUCAACAACUUUAAAGGUUAAGAGUGGGAGGUGCGAAUUUUAGUGCUUCAAGUAAAUUUAGAGAGUAUUCCCAAGUAUUUCUCUCACUUGGCAUUUCUUGACUUUACCGAGGGGCAAAAAUGAACAUUUGCAAAAAUAUAGAGCAUUCCUUACAAAUAUUUAUGAAUUUGGUCAGAAUCUCACUAGGACUGUUAUUUUUAUUUAUUUAUUUUUAAGAUUUUAUUU
This 3566-nucleotide long non-coding RNA is filed under the name Canis lupus familiaris (dog). RNAcentral's name for it is "lncRNA (ENSCAFG00845001784.1)". The record is from RNAcentral. Lineage: Eukaryota; Metazoa; Chordata; Mammalia; Carnivora; Canidae.